Molecule: ribosomal RNA, 647 nt
Filed under: Leptonia umbraphila
Lineage: Eukaryota; Fungi; Basidiomycota; Agaricomycetes; Agaricales; Entolomataceae
Description: LSU rRNA
Rfam family: Eukaryotic large subunit ribosomal RNA
Source: RNAcentral
GCAUAUCAAUAAGCGGAGGAAAAGAAACUAACAAGGAUUCCCCUAGUAACUGCGAGUGAAGCGGGAAAAGCUCAAAUUUAAAAUCUGGUAGUCUUUGGCUGCCCGAGUUGUAAUCUAGAGAAGCGCUAUCCGCGUUGGACCAUGUAUAAGUCUCCUGGAAUGGAGCGUCAUAGAGGGUGAGAAUCCCGUCUUUGACAUGGACUACCAGUGCUUUGUGAUGCGCUCUCAAAGAGUCGAGUUGUUUGGGAAUGCAGCUCUAAAUGGGUGGUAAAUUCCAUCUAAAGCUAAAUAUUGGCGAGAGACCGAUAGCGAACAAGUACCGUGAGGGAAAGAUGAAAAGAACUUUGGAAAGAGAGUUAAACAGUACGUGAAAUUGUUGAAAGGGAAACGCUUGAAGUCAGUCGCAUUGGCCAGGGAUCAACCUUGCUUUUGCUUGGUGUACUUCCUGGUCUAUGGGUCAGCAUCAAUUUUGACCGGUGGAAAAAKUUCGAGGAAAUGUGGCAUCUUCGGAUGUGUUAUAGUCUUCGGUCGCAUACAUCGGUUGGGAUUGAGGAACUCAGCACGCCGCAAGGCCGGGGUUUUGCCCACGUCCGUGCUUAGGAUGCUGGCAAUAAUGGCUUUAAUCGACCCGUCUUGAAACACGGACC